CAGCAGCCACGGUAAUACGUAGGUGGCAAGCGUUGUCCGGAAUUAUUGGGCGUAAAGCGCGCGCAGGCGGCCUAUCCAGUCUGUCUUAAAAGUUCGGGGCUCAACCCCGUGAUGGGAUGGAAACUAGUAGGCUAGAGUAUCGGAGAGGAAAGCGGAAUUCCUAGUGUAGCGGUGAAAUGCGUAGAUAUUAGGAAGAACACCAGUGGCGAAGGCGGCUUUCUGGACGAAAACUGACGCUGAGGCGCGAAAGCCAGGGGAGCAAACGGGAUUAGAUACCCCCGUAGUCCCUGUCUCUUAUACA
This 301-nucleotide ribosomal RNA is filed under the name uncultured bacterium. RNAcentral describes it as "partial 16S ribosomal RNA". It matches the Rfam family "Bacterial small subunit ribosomal RNA", at positions 509 to 809 of the family's 1533-position model. The record is from RNAcentral.